This 224-nucleotide ribosomal RNA is filed under the name uncultured bacterium. Its description in RNAcentral is "partial 16S ribosomal RNA". It matches the Rfam family "Bacterial small subunit ribosomal RNA", at positions 28 to 250 of the family's 1533-position model. The record is from RNAcentral.
GACGAACGCUGGCAGCGUGCUUAACACAUGCAAGUCGAGCGGUAAGGCCCUUUCGGGGGUACGACGAGCGGCGAACGGGUGAGUAACACGUGGGUGACCUGCCCUCAGCUCUGGGAGUAAGCCUGGGAGGACCGGGUCUAAUACCGGAUAUGACUCCAUGACGCAUGUUGUGGGGUGGAAAGCCUUGUGCGGCUGAGGAUGGGCCCGCGGCCUAUCAGCUUGUU